Taeniopygia guttata (zebra finch) is the source of this 1641-nucleotide long non-coding RNA. The record is from Ensembl. NCBI's taxonomy places the organism in Eukaryota, Metazoa, Chordata, Aves, Passeriformes, Estrildidae.
GAUGCAGACCAUUUAUGGAUUGUUUUAGAGCCCUAAAAGAAAAAAAUGCAACAGGAGCUGCUCUUUUUAGAGAGAAUUUAUUAUCUGCAUGCCAUCUGUCAUGGUCCUUUAAGAAAGGUGUCUGUCCUGCUUUCCUACUCAGAAACCCUAAACAUCCAAACUUCCAGACCAAUUUUCCCAGGUCUAAUGCUAAAGUUUCAAUAAUUUUACAAUUAUUUGUCAUGUCUGCUCACCUCUGGACACAUUAUGGGAGACAGCACUGAAAAUAAAACCCCCUUCCCUGACAGAUUUAUUGAUUUCUUAACUUGCACUCAUAUGAAACGCGAAGCAGCUAAAAAGGAUCUAUGAGCAGUAUAACUGUUUAACCUAAUUUCCUAAUAACAUAAAAUAUGGAGCAGUAAUGGAGCAACACCAUGGUGUCUCCUGGCAUGCAACAAACAAUUCAGAGUGCUGAGUAGCUAAAAUAUCCAGAGAAAGUUUCUGGAAGGCUUUGCUCUGAAGAUGUUCAGAUCAAUGUACUUCCCUCUACACAAGUAUCUUUUUCCUUAUAAACACGUAGGAAAUAAUGGGCAUAGGAUUUUCAGACAUACAGCGUGAAAAACGGGCAGGGUGUGAUUUACUAAAGAAAACUCAGGUCAAGAAGUUUUGCCACAAAUCCAAGAUGAGGGAAUUGAGAGUUAAAAACAUAUUCCAAAAGUUAUUUAUUCCAAAAGUUUUUACAUCUCAUGGCUCUGGAAUUCUGAUCCGUGCCUCGAACAAUGUCGUUCAGCAAUCAAGAGCAUUGCCAUAAUCUGAACUGUCACUUGAAAGAAAAUUUUUUAUCACUUCCAGCUCUCAAUUUUCAAACAAAGCCCUUUGUUUUCUUGAGAAAUUAUGUAUUUUAUACAGCAGAUAACACAUUCCUGUUUGGAAAGCAGAAAGAUAAUUCCUUUGGGGAUCUAAAGCUGUACAAUACACGAGUCCCCUGCAGCUGAAAGAGGAAAUAGAGACAGGCUGGCAUCGUGUUUGUACUAAACUGUGACAAAGGCAACCAAACCAUCAUCUCCACAACCUCCCAAAGUUAAUGAGGUUGUAGGUAAUUAUUCAAGACAAGGCUGGCCAAAUCGUUCCGUGUAAGGCACAGUAGGGACAGCACAGCCCACUUGUGGUUAUGCAUUGCACACAACGCUGUGACUGUGGAAACAUUUGGGCAAAAGAGAAUUUUUGGGGACCUGCACAUGGCUCCAGAGGGGCUUUUAAUCUGUAGAUACCAGGUAUAAAUACGGAAUGCCAUUAAUUCAGAUCUGGCUCAAUGCAAAAACAUGAAAAUGCAUUAUGGAUAGGUCACAGUGAUCAGAGUUCCAGGGGUCAGGGACAUGGAGAAACCCAAAGCAUAAGUAGUUGGAAAAGUGAGCGUGUUUAGUUCAGUUAAUCCUAAAGUUUGCACAGCAGCGGCUGAGAAGCGAUGUUCUCACAGUGGGUGAGCAAAGCUGCGGAGGGGGAACAGCACACGGAGAAGAGUGAAGGCAGCACCUCGGCCGGGGGAGCCGUGAGGGCGGACACCGCCACAGCUGCCCGUGUUCACGUUUACCACAAUUCCUUCACGUCUGAAGUCUCUGCUGAUCCAUCCCAGGCGCUUAUUUACGGAAAGCGGCGCUUCUG